AGAGUUUGAUCCUGGCUCAGGAUGAACGCUAGCGACAGGCUUAACACAUGCAAGUCGAGGGGCAUCAUGAGGUAGCAAUACCUUGAUGGCGACCGGCGCACGGGUGAGUAACGCGUAUGCAACCUGCCCGAUACCGGGGUAUAGCCCAUGGAAACGUGGAUUAACACCCCAUAGUACUUUUAUCCUGCAUGGGAUGUGAGUUAAAUGUUCAAGGUAUCGGAUGGGCAUGCGUCCUAUUAGUUAGUUGGCGGGGUAACAGCCCACCAAGACGAUGAUAGGUAGGGGUUCUGAGAGGAAGGUCCCCCACAUUGGAACUGAGACACGGUCCAAACUCCUACGGGAGGCAGCAGUGAGGAAUAUUGGUCAAUGGACGUAAGUCUGAACCAGCCAAGUCGCGUGAGGGAAGACUGCCCUAUGGGUUGUAAACCUCUUUUAUAAGGGAAGAAUAAGUUCUACGUGUAGAAUGAUGCCUGUACCUUAUGAAUAAGCAUCGGCUAACUCCGUGCCAGCAGCCGCGGUAAUACGGAGGAUGCGAGCGUUAUCCGGAUUUAUUGGGUUUAAAGGGUGCGUAGGCGGUUUAUUAAGUUAGUGGUUAAAUAUUUGAGCUAAACUCAAUUGUGCCAUUAAUACUGGUAAACUGGAGUACAGACGAGGUAGGCGGAAUAAGUUAAGUAGCGGUGAAAUGCAUAGAUAUAACUUAGAACUCCGAUAGCGAAGGCAGCUUACCAGACUGUAACUGACGCUGAUGCACGAGAGCGUGGGUAGCGAACAGGAUUAGAUACCCUGGUAGUCCACGCCGUAAACGAUGCUCACUGGUUCUGUGCGAUAUAUUGUACGGGAUUAAGCGAAAGUAUUAAGUGAGCCACCUGGGGAGUACGUCGGCAACGAUGAAACUCAAAGGAAUUGACGGGGGCCCGCACAAGCGGAGGAACAUGUGGUUUAAUUCGAUGAUACGCGAGGAACCUUACCUGGGUUUAAAUGGGAAAUGCCGUAUUUGGAAACAGAUAUUCUCUUCGGAGCGUUUUUCAAGGUGCUGCAUGGUUGUCGUCAGCUCGUGCCGUGAGGUGUCGGGUUAAGUCCCAUAACGAGCGCAACCCUUACCGUUAGUUGCUAACAGGUAAUGAUGAGGACUCUAACGGGACUGCCACCGUAAGGUGAGAGGAAGGCGGGGAUGACGUCAAAUCAGCAC
This 1189-nucleotide ribosomal RNA is filed under the name human gut metagenome. RNAcentral describes it as "bacterial SSU rRNA". It matches the Rfam family "Bacterial small subunit ribosomal RNA", at positions 8 to 1196 of the family's 1533-position model. The record is from RNAcentral.